This 484-nucleotide ribosomal RNA is filed under the name uncultured bacterium. RNAcentral describes it as "partial 16S ribosomal RNA". It matches the Rfam family "Bacterial small subunit ribosomal RNA", at positions 30 to 507 of the family's 1533-position model. The record is from RNAcentral.
AUUGAACGCUGGCGGCAGGCCUAACACAUGCAAGUCGAGCGGUUGAAGGGAGCUUGCUCCUGGAUUCAGCGGCGGACGGGUGUGUAAUGCCUAGGAAUCUGCCUGGUAGUGGGGGAUAACGUCAGGAAACGGGCGCUAAUACCGCAUACGUUCUGAGGGAGAAAGUGGGGGAUCUUCGGACCUCACGCUAUCAGCUGAGCCUAGGUCGGAUUAGCUAGUUGGUGGGGUAAAGGCCUACCAAGGCAACGAUCCGUACCUGGUCUGAGAGGAUGACCAGUCACACUGGAACUGAGACACGGUCCAGACUCCUACGGGAGGCAGCAGUGGGGAAUAUUGGACAAUGGGCGAAAGCCUGAUCCAGCAAUGCCGCGUGUGUGAAGAAGGUCUUCGGAUUUUAAAGCACUUUAGGAUGGAAGGAAGGGCAGUAGGUUAAUACCUUGCUGUUUUGACGUUACCGACAGAAUAAGCACCGGCUAACUACGUG